AAUUUGGGUCCUCUCGUGAAUGACGGGUUAAACUGAGUGAAUUUUGCUGAUGCUCUUAUUUUGAAAUCUAACUGGACGUUCUCUAAGAGGAGGAGUUAUGGAGGCAUAUAAUCAGUCCUCUGUUGGUUUAUCUAAGUUUUACAGCCAUGCCAAGAAAAUCAAUCAACAAACAAAAUUAAAGUCAUAAUAUUAUAUUACAACUUUAUUCCUGUAUGGCUUUAUCUCUCAUAAUGUUUUUAUUCAUUUCUUAUUUUGGGCCCAAUGCUGCGUCGUUCUGUAGCAAGCUGCUGAAAGUAAAUGAAUAAAUGCAAGUCUGAUGCCAGACAAGUUAGUUAGCCGUGUUAAAAAAUAAUUUAAUGUCUGACAUUAAUUCCAUCCAAUCAGGUGCUACUGCUGAGAAACGCCCACUUUGUCUGCAGACACGCCCACUUCGUGCUCAUUGGCCGAAAUAAAAUCUUCACAUCAUGAUGAUGGCAUAGUGACUUUAUUCUGAGGCAGAACAAUGAGGCAUUCUGGGUAAAUCUGAGGUUCUUCAGGACAAACAACAACAGACUCCAUGAGACAUGAACGGAUAAAUUAUUCUUCCAGUUAGUCAGUUCUGGUUCUGGUUCUGGUUCUGGUUCUCCUCCCAGCCACCAGGGGGCAGCAGCUGCAUAUUCAGCCUCAUUUCCAGAAAGUUAAAAUAUCCUGUAGUUAUCUCAUAUUUAUGAAGUUUGUAUAUGUUUUAAAAUAAAUAAGAUAUAUAAAAUAAACUACCAACUUCGGUUGGCGUUUUCGCUGUUCUCAAACUGGCUCAAAACUCAACAUCAAAUUUUAUACAGAUUUUUGUAUCGACACAAAAACAAAGGAUUUCUGUUCGAAGUUUAAUUCAAGUCAAGAUGUGUAAUUUAACUGUGGCCUGCUUCGCUUGUAAAGUUUAAUCUGUUUUAUUUUUGGAGAAUCUAAACCGUUAGGAAUCAGGUCACUGGAGUUUGAUAAACAUGGGCCCCAAACAGCUAGGCUCCCAAACAGCUAGGGCCCCAACAGUUAUGGCCCCAAACAGUUAGGGCCCCAACAGCUAGGCUCCCAAACAGCUAGGGCCCCCAAACAGUUAGGGCCCCAACAGCUAGGCUCCCAAACAGCUAGGGCCCCAACAGCUAGGGCCCCAACAGCUAGGGCCCCAACAGCUAGGCUCCCAAACAUCUAGGGCCCCAACAGCUAGGGCCAGCCCUGACGCUGCAGGUUCUCAGGUUCCUCCACAUCUUCCCCUCAUAAAUCUGCCGGUUUCUCAUGCUGAAUGAAGCUCAGUGGUUGAACUUUGACCCUGAUGUUUCCAGGUGAGUCCGGCUCGAU
Poecilia latipinna (sailfin molly) is the source of this 1332-nucleotide long non-coding RNA. RefSeq lists it as uncharacterized. NCBI's taxonomy places the organism in Eukaryota, Metazoa, Chordata, Actinopteri, Cyprinodontiformes, Poeciliidae. The record is from RefSeq and is a predicted model, not a curated record. The transcript has 3 exons.